GGGUUGUUAGCUCAGCUGGCAGAGCACCGGACUCUUAAUCCGGGUGUCCAGGGUUCGAUCCCCUGACGACCCA
This 73-nucleotide transfer RNA is filed under the name Lactobacillus delbrueckii. RNAcentral describes it as "tRNA-Lys". It matches the Rfam family "tRNA". From Rfam's summary of the family: Transfer RNA (tRNA) molecules are approximately 80 nucleotides in length. Their secondary structure includes four short double-helical elements and three loops (D, anti-codon, and T loops). Lineage: Bacteria; Bacillati; Bacillota; Bacilli; Lactobacillales; Lactobacillaceae. The record is from RNAcentral.